AGUUCCAAAAUUCCUUCUAAAACAAUCCCUUGCUUUUAGAAUUUCUAAAGAUUCUAUUACAACAAUUGAUUCCUGAAAUCAGAAAAAACAGGAUCUUUGCAUAAAGCUCACAAAUGAAUCACAACUAAUAACAUCAAACAUAUUCCUAGCAUCUAAGAUUAUUAGAAGUCUUGAUUCAAACCAGAUUUAGAAUCAGUUUCCCAGCAUAAAUCUAAACCAAAAAUCAAAGGAUGAGUGAUCAAGUCACCUUAGCUGUGAGAACAAAGUCAAGUCAUUAACACUGAACAAAAUGAUUUCAUAUACAAACCAAGAGAGGUAUAGAAGAGUUUGAUGGAUCACAUCACAUUCAAUCUUAAUACAAGGGGAGCUUAGCCACUCAUGGUAAUGUGUAGGUCAAUCUUUUCAUACAAGGAGAGAAAAGAAAAGAAAAAUAACAGAGUUGAUCUCUCUGAGCUUCCCAGCUUCGUAACCCCCUCAUUCCUAGUUGGACUCCUCCUUUCUGCAUUCUCAUAGGGAAAAACAUAUAAAAUGCAAUUAACUCUUCUCAACAAAAGAAAUCCAUUUUUCUUACAAGAAUAAGAGUUUUCUUAAGUCUAAUUAUCUUAUAAAAACGAUUUAUAAAACCGGUUUAUGAAAUGAAAUAAGAUUUACGCUCACUUAUAUCCUAUACAAUAUCUUUAGUCGAUGUUUGAUCUCUAUACAGAUUGUUGUACAAUUUCCUGUGCAUCUGACCUGUGAUUGUUGGGUACUGGCCGGAAUAGCACUCGUAAUUGGGUUUCUGGCAAAAUAUUAAUGAAAUACUAUAUAGUGGAAAAAUCAUGAUAAUGAUAGUACAAACUUGCAUUUAUAGAUGGAUUCUGUGGAGUAUCUGUGUCCUCCGGAUGAGUGAAGCAGUACCUACAAUAGUUCAUGAGGGUUGAUCAGCCAAUGAAGCUGCACUCAAGGAUACAAAUGCAUCUCUGGCAUCUCAGACUGCAUGGUAGAAUUGCUUAAUCAGCUAGUAAAAAAGAUUACAAAAAAUCAUUGUAGAAGAAGACAAAGAUGAGAUUGUUUUUCUGUCAAACAGCUUAAAUUCACUCCAACCUCUGCAGUUUAAAUGGGAAUGAACUCAGCUUAAAUCUACCAAGAUGAUUGCAAUUUACAAGCAUUUCACCCACUACUUCAAUAACCCUUUUUCUGAUAUUUCUGGUUUACAUCAAACAAAAACAAUUAAGCUGCAACCAAGGAUCGUUUGAGAAUCUUGAUGAACCAUAUAUGUUGCAAAAAAGUAAAACCCCUUCAAAUUCCAAGUGAAAGCAUAUGAAUACUCUUAAUUUCUAAUUCAUCUAAUUCAUCAUACAGUGAAACCCCUUUAAAACAAAUGCUCAUAAUUGAAAGUAUUGUUAUGAAGGGAAGAGUAAAGAAAAGUACCUUCCUCACGAGAGCAAUUUUUGUCUGCGAAGUUUGCUGCUCAACGGCAAGGAAAGCCCUGAUUCCACAUUUGAAUUUGGAAUUUGGAAGCUUUAAACAAUCACUGCAGAAUAUACACUCAAAAAAAUUAUAUCCCAUUAAUUUUAGGGAUACUUUUAGAAAAAAAUUAUACAUAAUUCAUUUCACACUGGUUAAGAAAGUUAAUUAAAAUAAUUUGAUGUCACUAAUUUUUAUCAAAAAUAUUUUUUUUCUAAAGUACUUUUUAUUCAUAUUUGACAUCAUCAACAAGAAGAAAAGAGUCCUCGAAAAUAGAAUCACAAUUAUCAAGUUCAGAUAUGAGAAUAUUAAGUAAAUUUUAAAUCUAAUUCAAAGUUUAUAAAAUAGAGUUAUAAGUUGAGAUUUACAUUCAUUUAUAUAUUAUGUUUAUCUAAUGUGAGAUCCGUCAACUCGCGUAGUACAAUAUAUAUAAUGGAUGAUCCAGUAACAUGAUAAGUCUAACAAACUCUCACUAGAACAAUAUAAUCUAUAAUAAAUAAUAUGAUAAGUUCAACAAACUUUUGUUAAGAUAUACCUAAAUAACUCAUUGUUAUCAAACAUAGUACUAAUGAUAGUAAAAUCAACAUUAUUAAUUUGAUUUCACAAGAUUUUUUUUUCAAUUUUGAUGAAUUAAUUAACUAAAUUUUGUAAUAAAAGUUGAAAGAAAUAUAAAAGUAAAAAAUAUUGUAUGCUAAUUCUUUAUGUAUGUAUUAUUUCAUUCAAAAAUAUAAGAGUCUUACAAAACUAAUUCUAUAGUUUGUGCCGGUGCUCAGUAAACUUCUACAGUAAAAGAAUUUAAAUGGUACAACUUUUUUUCAUUGAAGUUCACAUCAGAAACAGAAGUAAAUAGUGAAUACAUUAAUAUGAGUUCCUGAGAGCAGCUCUGAACAGUUUUGGCUAAGAUGAAAUAAAUGAUGUUAAGUCAAACGAGAGAAGGCAAAAGGCCAAUAGCAUAGCCAAAAACUCUGAGCUGCAUUGGAAACGGGAAUUUCACUUCAUGUUCUUAUUGAAAGUUGAACCAAAACAUUAUCAAACCCAACUACCCUCAUCAAGUUAAGCACCACAAAGUAACAUUCAGCAACCAAAACUUGAAAUAAAUAUGCAGACUAAGAUGGGUCCAAACCAAAUCCUUUUCCCUUUGUACCUUCCAAUGUGACUAUGUAGUUAUCUAUUUGUUGCAAAGUCAAAGUAGACUAAGAUGGGUUGCAAGAAAAUAUGGCUUUUGCAAGUAAUCUGAUUCUUAUGCAUGAUUAGGAGUGAGAUGAGAGGACAAGCAAACAGAAAGUUUCACAUCAAUGGUUCAGCAAAUCUCUGUACUUCACUUAAUGUUGCAGAUUUAGUUACCUUCAAAGGAAGGUGGUCCAAAUGAUGACCAUCCAGAAUUGUGGCAUUGCUCACUGCAAGUCAUGUGCCACCCUCCACCACACCACACCUCACAACACCUAUCAUUCAAAACUCCUUCAUAAAGAAUGUGCAAGUCCACCCUAAUCAAAUGCUCAUCACAUCGCACUUUCUCUGUUUGUUUGUUUGUUUCAUAGAAACUAAUAAAUGAAAGGGCGUGAAAAGUGGGAGAGUCAUCAGUGAAACAAGGAGUUAAAGGAGAAGGGUCCCCUCAUUUCUUUCCAUUCUGUAAUAAUUGUAUGUAUAUAUAUGUGUAUGUGUCUCUGCAAAAACCAAAAACCAGAAACCAUGGGUUGCAUGCGGAUUUACUCUGUACCAGGGCUAUAGAGAAACAAAGACUACUCAUUUAGUGAAGUCCUUGGAAGCCUACGUACAAAGGUGCAGGUAGUUUAUCUUUUUCUGCUUCUUGGUCAGAUCCAUUUUGCUGCUUUAUUGAUUAACAUGCUUCAUGC
RNAcentral lists this long non-coding RNA (3299 nucleotides) under Phaseolus vulgaris (common bean). Its description in RNAcentral is "long non-coding RNA (PVUL_LNC000041)". Lineage: Eukaryota; Viridiplantae; Streptophyta; Magnoliopsida; Fabales; Fabaceae. The record is from RNAcentral.